CAAAGUGGGGGACCUUCGGGCCUCAUGCCAUCAGAUGUGCCCAGAUGGGAUUAGCUAGUAGGUGGGGUAACGGCUCACCUAGGCGACGAUCCCUAGCUGGUCUGAGAGGAUGACCAGCCACACUGGAACUGAGACACGGUCCAGACUCCUACGGGAGGCAGCAGUGGGGAAUAUUGCACAAUGGGCGCAAGCCUGAUGCAGCCAUGCCGCGUGUGUGAAGAAGGCCUCGGGUUGUAAAGCACUUUCAGCGGGGAGGAAGGCGAUAAGGUUAAUAACCUUGUCGAUUGACGUUACCCGCAGAAGAAGCACCGGCUAACUCCGUGCCAGCAGCCGCGGUAAUACGGAGGGUGCAAGCGUUAAUCGGAAUUACUGGGCGUAAAGCGCACGCAGGCGGUCUGUCAAGUCGGAUGUGAAAUCCCCGGGCUUAACCUGGGAACUGCAUUCGAAACUGGCAGGCUAGAGUCUUGUAGAGGGGGGUAGAAUUCCAGGUGUAGCGGUGAAAUGCGUAGAGAUCUGGAGGAAUAC
RNAcentral lists this ribosomal RNA (525 nucleotides) under Klebsiella pneumoniae. Its description in RNAcentral is "bacterial SSU rRNA". It matches the Rfam family "Bacterial small subunit ribosomal RNA", at positions 202 to 709 of the family's 1533-position model. Lineage: Bacteria; Pseudomonadati; Pseudomonadota; Gammaproteobacteria; Enterobacterales; Enterobacteriaceae. The record is from RNAcentral.